RNAcentral lists this ribosomal RNA (279 nucleotides) under uncultured bacterium. RNAcentral describes it as "partial 16S ribosomal RNA". It matches the Rfam family "Bacterial small subunit ribosomal RNA", at positions 506 to 784 of the family's 1533-position model. The record is from RNAcentral.
UGCCAGCAGCCGCGGUAACACGAACCGUACGAACGUUAUUCGGAAUCACUGGGCUUAAAGAGUGCGUAGGCGGCCUUACAGGUGGGGUGUGAAAUCCCCCGGCUCAACCGGGGAACUGCGCCCCAAACCGUAAGGCUUGAGGGAGAUAGAGGUGAGCGGAACUGAUGGUGGAGCGGUGAAAUGCGUUGAUAUCAUCAGGAACACCAGCGGCGAAGGCGGCUCACUGGGCCGAUAUUGACGCUGAGGCGCGAAGGCGUGGGUAGCGAACGGGAUUAGAUA